This 467-nucleotide ribosomal RNA is filed under the name uncultured bacterium. RNAcentral's name for it is "partial 16S ribosomal RNA". It matches the Rfam family "Bacterial small subunit ribosomal RNA", at positions 339 to 795 of the family's 1533-position model. The record is from RNAcentral.
CUACGGGGGGCUCCAGUGGGGAAUAUUGGACAAUGGGGGAAACCCUGAUCCAGCAAUGCCGCGUGUGUGAAGAAGGCCUGCGGGUUGUAAAGCACUUUCGGUUGGGAGGACUGCUUCUAGCACUAAUAUUGUUGGAAGUUGACGUUACCUUCAGAAGAAGCACCGGCUAACUCCGUGCCAGCAGCCGCGGGUGAAUACGGAGGGUGCAAGCGCGAAUCGGAAUUACUGGGCGUAAAGCGCGCGUAGGCGGCUAGAGCAGUCGGGUGUGAAAGCCCCGGGCUUAACCUGGCAACUGCAUCCGAUACUGUCUAGCUUGAGUACAGGAGAGGAGAGUGGAAUUCCACAUGUAGCGGUGAAAUGCGUAGAUAUGUGGAGGAACACCAAUGGCGAAGGCAGCUCUCUGGCCUGAUACUGACGCUGAGGUGCGAAAGCGUGGGGAGCAAACAGGAUUAGAUACCCCAGUAGUC